GAGCCUAAUAUCGUCUUGAUUAUCGACAGAGAAAUCUGCUUAUGUCUAUCUCUGACGAUCGUCGAUACACGAUACUAUCAUCUAUCGGCACAACCCUAGCUCGGACUGCUUUGGUUUAGUGCAGAGCCAUGCUCUUGUUUAGCGUAUGGGUCUGUCACAUGAUUAAGGAAGGACUUGAACCCGAAGACUUGUUAGACAAGAGGUUAGGUGAGCUUAUUACAGACUGAAGACACAGGUAAAGAAUGAAUUAAUCUUUUCUGUAUCUUAUAGAAUUUUAGUUUUUUAUUGUUUGUAGUGUGAUCAACGUCUGCAUAAGUACUAGAUAUGCUGGGUAAGUAACACGUAACAUUGUUAUUAUAUUUUGCUAAAAUUAAUGAAAUGUCUCGAAAAUAGAUUUGUUAAUUUUACUGAACGAGACUCAAAAGUCAGUCGGUAAAAUGAUCCCUAAAAAUGAUCACUAGAUGGAAGCAGUUCACUGAUUGCGCAGCACAGUCACAAGCGUCACAGUUAUGUCGGCGAUCAUUUUAUUUCUAAUCCAAUAGUGUUAUUGGAAAAUAUUGCAAUUGUGUUUUAAAAUACAACAAUGAGCACCACAAAACCAUUUAAGAAGCAUUCACUUCGAUGGGUAAACAGUCAACAAAGUAAAUGACCUCAGACGGACGGCGCGCUCACUUUAUUUUAUCAAAUGAUCUUAGUCACAUUUAUUCAUUUUAUAAGUUGGAUGGAAACCCGGCUAUUAUCUGCAUCAAACCAUGCUUCCGAUGUUCUGGGAUGCUCCUGGACAGCGGUGUCUCCGAGAAAAAUUUAGCUGUUCAUCUAAAAAAUGUUUGUACACAGUAAAACACUUAGGGUUGUUUUUUUUAACCUAACCGUUGGGUUACACAUAAUGGGUCAAUGUGUUUGGUUAUCUUAAAAUUUGUUGGGUCAUUUUUGUUCGUCGUUGGGUUAUUUUUAGUUAUAACCCAACUGUUGGGUUAAAUAUGUUUCCCGCUUCACUCCUGUUCAAAUUUUAACGGUCCAGUCAGAGACUCAGGCGUGGACAUCAGUGGCAGCCUGCAUGAUUAUGAAGGGCAUUUCGUGCAGACAUUCUCUUUAAAACCCUUUCUGCCAUCUGCACCAUACCACACUAAUGGAAAAAUAGUGUGCGCAUAAUACACGGAAAUGAAGCGGUUUUUCAUUGACAUUCAACCUGUUGGCACUAAUUAGUGCUGUACAUGAAUCACGAGACAAGCCAGAAUCCACAUGUCCUGGUGCUUGGUGACAAGGAAAACUCCAAGUUUUUAUUAUUUUAAACGGGAGGCGAUGGAACAGGAGAUGAUACUACAAGCAGUCGAUCUGUGUUUCAAACAUUUCUUUGUAUAUGACAUCUACUACCUAAAGCCCUCUGCUCCCAUUUGAGAGUUUUUGUAACACACAGUGUUUAAUAGUUCCUUCUUCACACUGUCUCCUCCUUAAAAACUUUGUGUUUAUUAAUCAGUGAAAAACUUUUAUUUUAUUGAUCAUCAAUAGGUCUAGCAGCUAGUAUAUAUAUUUUUAUUAUUAUAUGUUGUGUUCAUUUUAUUUGAAAGUCGUAACAUUCACCUACUGGAGCAGUGGGCAGCUAUAGAUCCAGUGAGAGCAACUGGGGGUUCAGUGCCUUGCUCAAGGGCACUUCAGCCAUGAGUAUUGAGGGUGGAAGAGAGUGCUGUUCAUUAACUCCCCACCACCUACAACUUCUGCCAGCACAGAGACUCAAACCUGCGACUUUUGGGUUACAGGUCCAACUCUAACCGUUAGGCCACAGCUAUGAACUGUAUUUGUGCGUUUUGAUAUGAACAUGAAUUGACACAUUUGUACAUCUAGAAAAUGUCAGUUGUAUUUUUACACAUCCUUGUACAUUUAAAUAAAAUAUUUUAAAAUAUAUUUGUAAAUGUGUUAUUUGCAUAU
Carassius auratus (goldfish) is the source of this 1926-nucleotide long non-coding RNA. RefSeq lists it as uncharacterized. The transcript is spliced from 3 exons. The record is from RefSeq and is a predicted model, not a curated record. Lineage: Eukaryota; Metazoa; Chordata; Actinopteri; Cypriniformes; Cyprinidae.